CCUACGGGAGGCAGCAGUAGGGAAUUUUCGUCAAUGGGCGCAAGCCUGAACGAGCGAUGCCGCGUGAGUGAAGAAGGCCUUCGGGUCGUAAAGCUCUGUUGCGGGGGAAAAAAGGCAGCAUCAGGAAAUGGGUGCUGACUGAUGGUGCCCCGCCAGAAAGUCACGGCUAACUACGUGCCAGCAGCCGCGGUAAU
This 194-nucleotide ribosomal RNA is filed under the name uncultured bacterium. RNAcentral describes it as "partial 16S ribosomal RNA". It matches the Rfam family "Bacterial small subunit ribosomal RNA", at positions 338 to 524 of the family's 1533-position model. The record is from RNAcentral.